This 881-nucleotide ribosomal RNA is filed under the name Salmonella enterica subsp. enterica serovar Kentucky. RNAcentral's name for it is "bacterial LSU rRNA". It matches the Rfam family "Bacterial large subunit ribosomal RNA", at positions 989 to 1782 of the family's 2925-position model. The record is from RNAcentral. Lineage: Bacteria; Pseudomonadati; Pseudomonadota; Gammaproteobacteria; Enterobacterales; Enterobacteriaceae.
ACGGCGGGUGCUAACGUCCGUCGUGAAGAGGGAAACAACCCAGACCGCCAGCUAAGGUCCCAAAGUCAUGGUUAAGUGGGAAACGAUGUGGGAAGGCCCAGACAGCCAGGAUGUUGGCUUAGAAGCAGCCAUCAUUUAAAGAAAGCGUAAUAGCUCACUGGUCGAGUCGGCCUGCGCGGAAGAUGUAACGGGGCUAAACCAUGCACCGAAGCUGCGGCAGCGAACGUAUCACUUAAAGCGAUUCAGCGGGUUACGAUUGACGGAGCGAAGCGACGUCAAAGCGUAUACAAAGUCGAGUCGGUUUAAGGAUACGUUCGUUGGGUAGGGGAGCGUUCUGUAAGCCUGYGAAGGUGGCCUGUGAGGGUUGCUGGAGGUAUCAGAAGUGCGAAUGCUGACAUAAGUAACGAUAAAGCGGGUGAAAAGCCCGCUCGCCGGAAGACCAAGGGUUCCUGUCCAACGUUAAUCGGGGCAGGGUGAGUCGACCCCUAAGGCGAGGCCGAAAGGCGUAGUCGAUGGGAAACRGGUUAAUAUUCCUGUACUUGGUGUUACUGCGAAGGGGGGACGGAGAAGGCUAUGUUGGCCGGGCGACGGUUGUCCCGGUUUAAGCGUGUAGGCUGGUUUUCCAGGCAAAUCCGGAAAAUCAAGGCUGAGGCGUGAUGACGAGGCACUACGGUGCUGAAGCAACAAAUGCCCUGCUUCCAGGAAAAGCCUCUAAGCAUCAGGUAACAUCAAAUCGUACCCCAAACCGACACAGGUGGUCAGGUAGAGAAUACCAAGGCGCUUGAGAGAACUCGGGUGAAGGAACUAGGCAAAAUGGUGCCGUAACUUCGGGAGAAGGCACGCUGACACGUAGGUGAAGUGAUUUACUCAUGGAGCUGAAG